UACGAAGGUCCCAAGCGUUAUCCGGAUUUAUUGGGUUUAAAGGGUGCGUAGGCGGGCUAUUAAGUCAGUGGUGAAAGCUCUCAGCUUAACUGGGAAACUGCCAUUGAUACUGAUAGUCUUGAGUAUGAUUGAAGUGGGCGGAAUGUGUCAUGUAGCGGUGAAAUGCUUAGAUAUGACACAGAACACCGAUUGCGAAGGCAGCUCACUAAGCCAUAACUGACGCUGAUGCACGAAAGCGUGGGGAGCAAACAGGAUUAGAUACCCUGGUAGUCCACGCCCUAAACGAUGAUCACUCGAUGUGUGCGAUAAACUGUACGCGUCCAAGCGAAAGCAUUAAGUGAUCCACCUGGGGAGUACGACCGCAAGGUUG
Molecule: ribosomal RNA, 370 nt
Filed under: uncultured prokaryote
Description: bacterial SSU rRNA
Rfam family: Bacterial small subunit ribosomal RNA
Source: RNAcentral